This is a non-coding RNA of Zootermopsis nevadensis, 162 nucleotides long. The record is from Rfam. Lineage: Eukaryota; Metazoa; Arthropoda; Insecta; Blattodea; Termopsidae.
AUACUUACCUGGCGUAGGGGUUACCGUGAUCCAGAAGGCGGUUCCCCAGGGUGAGAUCCUUCCAUUGCACUUCGGUUGGGUUGACCCCUGCGAUUGCCCCAAAUGUGGGUAACUCGGGCGCGUAAUUUUUGGUAGUCGGGACUGCGUUCGCGCCGUCCCGGU